Molecule: long non-coding RNA, 220 nt
Organism: Drosophila takahashii
Lineage: Eukaryota; Metazoa; Arthropoda; Insecta; Diptera; Drosophilidae
Source: RefSeq, a predicted model, not a curated record
CGGCACUCACACCCGCCACCAGGAAAGCGGCCAAGAAGAUGGCACUCAGAGCAACGACUGGCGAAGAAAAUUGAUGUGACAAUAACUGUGAAAGUUUCUCGGUAGAAGGAACCAACUGAGACCUCCACGUUUCGGGGAUGGAACUUUUAUACUUUCGAUGGGGGAAGAGUGCCGAAAAAAAAAUGUGAAAACAAGAAUAAUAAAAGUAUUGACAUUUUGA